RNAcentral lists this ribosomal RNA (450 nucleotides) under uncultured bacterium. RNAcentral describes it as "partial 16S ribosomal RNA". It matches the Rfam family "Bacterial small subunit ribosomal RNA", at positions 354 to 796 of the family's 1533-position model. The record is from RNAcentral.
GUAGGGAAUCUUCGGCAAUGGGGGCAACCCUGACCGAGCAACGCCGCGUGAGUGAAGAAGGUUUUCGGAUCGUAAAGCUCUGUUGUAAGAGAAGAACGUGUGUGAGAGUGGAAAGUUCACACAGUGACGGUAACUUACCAGAAAGGGACGGCUAACUACGUGCCAGCAGCCGCGGUAAUACGUAGGUCCCGAGCGUUGUCCGGAUUUAUUGGGCGUAAAGCGAGCGCAGGCGGUUUAAUAAGUCUGAAGUUAAAGGCAGUGGCUUAACCAUUGUUCGAUUUGGAAACUGUUAAACUUGAGUGCAGAAGGGGAGAGUGGAAUUCCAUGUGUAGCGGUGAAAUGCGUAGAUAUAUGGAGGAACACCGGUGGCGAAAGCGGCUCUCUGGUCUGUAACUGACGCUGAGGCUCGAAAGCGUGGGGAGCAAACAGGAUUAGAAACCCGGGUAGUCC